GGGUUGUGAGGUUAAGCGACUAAGCGUACACGGUGGAUGCCCUGGCAGUCAGAGGCGAUGAAGGACGUGCUAAUCUGCGAUAAGCGUCGGUAAGGUGAUAUGAACCGUUAUAACCGGCGAUUUCCGAAUGGGGAAACCCAGUGUGUUUCGACACACUAUCAUUAACUGAAUCCAUAGGUUAAUGAGGCGAACCGGGGGAACUGAAACAUCUAAGUACCCCGAGGAAAAGAAAUCAACCGAGAUUCCCCCAGUAGCGGCGAGCGAACGGGGAGCAGCCCAGAGCCUGAAUCAGUGUGUGUGUUAGUGGAAGCGUCUGGAAAGGCGCGCGAUACAGGGUGACAGCCCCGUACACAAAAAUGCACAUGCUGUGAGCUCGAUGAGUAGGGCGGGACACGUGGUAUCCUGUCUGAAUAUGGGGGACCAUCCUCCAAGGCUAAAUACUCCUGACUGACCGAUAGUGAACCAGUACCGUGAGGGAAAGGCGAAAAGAACCCCGGCGAGGGGAGUGAAAAAGAACCUGAAACCGUGUACGUACAAGCAGUGGGAGCACGCUUAGGCGUGUGACUGCGUACCUUUUGUAUAAUGGGUCAGCGACUUAUAUUCUGUAGCAAGGUUAACCGAAUAGGGGAGCCGAAGGGAAACCGAGUCUUAACUGGGCGUUAAGUUGCAGGGUAUAGACCCGAAACCCGGUGAUCUAGCCAUGGGCAGGUUGAAGGUUGGGUAACACUAACUGGAGGACCGAACCGACUAAUGUUGAAAAAUUAGCGGAUGACUUGUGGCUGGGGGUGAAAGGCCAAUCAAACCGGGAGAUAGCUGGUUCUCCCCGAAAGCUAUUUAGGUAGCGCCUCGUGAAUUCAUCUCCGGGGGUAGAGCACUGUUUCGGCAAGGGGGUCAUCCCGACUUACCAACCCGAUGCAAACUGCGAAUACCGGAGAAUGUUAUCACGGGAGACACACGGCGGGUGCUAACGUCCGUCGUGAAGAGGGAAACAACCCAGACCGCCAGCUAAGGUCCCAAAGUCAUGGUUAAGUGGGAAACGAUGUGGGAAGGCCCAGACAGCCAGGAUGUUGGCUUAGAAGCAGCCAUCAUUUAAAGAAAGCGUAAUAGCUCACUGGUCGAGUCGGCCUGCGCGGAAGAUGUAACGGGGCUAAACCAUGCACCGAAGCUGCGGCAGCGACGCUUAUGCGUUGUUGGGUAGGGGAGCGUUCUGUAAGCCUGUGAAGGUGUGCUGUGAGGCAUGCUGGAGGUAUCAGAAGUGCGAAUGCUGACAUAAGUAACGAUAAAGCGGGUGAAAAGCCCGCUCGCCGGAAGACCAAGGGUUCCUGUCCAACGUUAAUCGGGGCAGGGUGAGUCGACCCCUAAGGCGAGGCCGAAAGGCGUAGUCGAUGGGAAACAGGUUAAUAUUCCUGUACUUGGUGUUACUGCGAAGGGGGGACGGAGAAGGCUAUGUUGGCCGGGCGACGGUUGUCCCGGUUUAAGCGUGUAGGCUGGUUUUCCAGGCAAAUCCGGAAAAUCAAGGCUGAGGCGUGAUGACGAGGCACUACGGUGCUGAAGCAACAAAUGCCCUGCUUCCAGGAAAAGCCUCUAAGCAUCAGGUAACAUCAAAUCGUACCCCAAACCGACACAGGUGGUCAGGUAGAGAAUACCAAGGCGCUUGAGAGAACUCGGGUGAAGGAACUAGGCAAAAUGGUGCCGUAACUUCGGGAGAAGGCACGCUGAUAUGUAGGUGAAGUCCCUUGCGGAUGGAGCUGAAAUCAGUCGAAGAUACCAGCUGGCUGCAACUGUUUAUUAAAAACACAGCACUGUGCAAACACGAAAGUGGACGUAUACGGUGUGACGCCUGCCCGGUGCCGGAAGGUUAAUUGAUGGGGUCAGCGCAAGCGAAGCUCUUGAUCGAAGCCCCGGUAAACGGCGGCCGUAACUAUAACGGUCCUAAGGUAGCGAAAUUCCUUGUCGGGUAAGUUCCGACCUGCACGAAUGGCGUAAUGAUGGCCAGGCUGUCUCCACCCGAGACUCAGUGAAAUUGAACUCGCUGUGAAGAUGCAGUGUACCCGCGGCAAGACGGAAAGACCCCGUGAACCUUUACUAUAGCUUGACACUGAACAUUGAGCCUUGAUGUGUAGGAUAGGUGGGAGGCUUUGAAGUGUGGACGCCAGUCUGCAUGGAGCCGACCUUGAAAUACCACCCUUUAAUGUUUGAUGUUCUAACGUUGACCCGUGAUCCGGGUUGCGGACAGUGUCUGGUGGGUAGUUUGACUGGGGCGGUCUCCUCCUAAAGAGUAACGGAGGAGCACGAAGGUUGGCUAAUCCUGGUCGGACAUCAGGAGGUUAGUGCAAUGGCAUAAGCCAGCUUGACUGCGAGCGUGACGGCGCGAGCAGGUGCGAAAGCAGGUCAUAGUGAUCCGGUGGUUCUGAAUGGAAGGGCCAUCGCUCAACGGAUAAAAGGUACUCCGGGGAUAACAGGCUGAUACCGCCCAAGAGUUCAUAUCGACGGCGGUGUUUGGCACCUCGAUGUCGGCUCAUCACAUCCUGGGGCUGAAGUAGGUCCCAAGGGUAUGGCUGUUCGCCAUUUAAAGUGGUACGCGAGCUGGGUUUAGAACGUCGUGAGACAGUUCGGUCCCUAUCUGCCGUGGGCGCUGGAGAAUUGAGGGGGGCUGCUCCUAGUACGAGAGGACCGGAGUGGACGCAUCACUGGUGUUCGGGUUGUCAUGCCAAUGGCACUGCCCGGUAGCUAAAUGCGGAAGAGAUAAGUGCUGAAAGCAUCUAAGCACGAAACUUGCCCCGAGAUGAGUUCUCCCUGACUCCUUGAGAGUCCUGAAGGAACGUUGAAGACGACGACGUUGAUAGGCCGGGUGUGUAAGCGCAGCGAUGCGUUGAGCUAACCGGUACUAAUGAACCGUGAGGCUUAACCUUACAACGCCGAAG
RNAcentral lists this ribosomal RNA (2924 nucleotides) under Escherichia coli. Its description in RNAcentral is "23S ribosomal RNA". It matches the Rfam family "Bacterial large subunit ribosomal RNA". The record is from RNAcentral. Lineage: Bacteria; Pseudomonadati; Pseudomonadota; Gammaproteobacteria; Enterobacterales; Enterobacteriaceae.